AGCCCCCCUCGAGAUGAGAUUUCCCAUUGCUUCGGCAAGUAAGACCCCUGAGAGAUGAUCAGGUAGAUAGGUUGGAAGUGGAAGUACAGCGAUGUAUGGAGCGGACCAAUACUAAUCGGUCGAGGACUUAACCAA
RNAcentral lists this ribosomal RNA (135 nucleotides) under Carnobacterium divergens. RNAcentral describes it as "partial 23S ribosomal RNA". It matches the Rfam family "Bacterial large subunit ribosomal RNA", at positions 2791 to 2925 of the family's 2925-position model. The record is from RNAcentral. Lineage: Bacteria; Bacillati; Bacillota; Bacilli; Lactobacillales; Carnobacteriaceae.